CAAAAGGUAGUUUUUAAAAUAUUAACUUUGGGAGUUAAAGAUGAAUUUAUAUUUUCUUUUGA
Molecule: transfer RNA, 62 nt
Filed under: Tullbergia bisetosa
Lineage: Eukaryota; Metazoa; Arthropoda; Collembola; Poduromorpha; Tullbergiidae
Description: tRNA-Pro
Source: RNAcentral